RNAcentral lists this transfer RNA (66 nucleotides) under Petalocephala ochracea. RNAcentral's name for it is "tRNA-Leu". Lineage: Eukaryota; Metazoa; Arthropoda; Insecta; Hemiptera; Cicadellidae. The record is from RNAcentral.
UCUAAUUUGGCAGAAUUUUAUGCUUUGAAUUUAAGCUUCAAUUAUGAGUUUAUAACUUUUUUAGAA